UACAGAGGGUGCGAGCGUUGUUCGGAAUUAUUGGGCGUAAAGGGCGCGUAGGCGGUGCGGUAAGUCACCUGUGAAAUCUCCUGGCUCAACUGGGAGCUUGCAGGCGAAACUGCCGUGCUGGAGUGUGGGAGAGGUGAGUGGAAUUCCCGGUGUAGCGGUGAAAUGCGUAGAUAUCAGGAGGAACACCUGCGGUGUAGACGGCUUUCUGGACCAUUGCUGACGCUGAGACACGAAAGCGUGGGUAGCAAACAGG
RNAcentral lists this ribosomal RNA (253 nucleotides) under uncultured bacterium. RNAcentral's name for it is "partial 16S ribosomal RNA". It matches the Rfam family "Bacterial small subunit ribosomal RNA", at positions 524 to 776 of the family's 1533-position model. The record is from RNAcentral.